Molecule: non-coding RNA, 217 nt
Filed under: Streptomyces sp.
Lineage: Bacteria; Bacillati; Actinomycetota; Actinomycetes; Kitasatosporales; Streptomycetaceae
Also listed under: 1 other name
Source: RNAcentral
UACUCUGGCGGUGCAGCUGGUUCGCCCUGUCCGCCAGGCAGACGCGUCGUAAGAGGGAACCCGGUGGGAAUCCGGGACUGCCCCGCAGCGGUGAGUGGGAACGACCGCCGUCAUACGCACUGGAUCCGGUCGGAUCCGGGAAGCGACGGCCACUAGGAAUCUGCCCCCGGCAGAUGUGCCCACGAGUCCGAAGACCUGCCCGUUGCCCGCACGCGAC